RNAcentral lists this ribosomal RNA (253 nucleotides) under uncultured bacterium. Its description in RNAcentral is "partial 16S ribosomal RNA". It matches the Rfam family "Bacterial small subunit ribosomal RNA", at positions 524 to 776 of the family's 1533-position model. The record is from RNAcentral.
UACAGGGGGUGCAAACGUUGCUCGGAAUUAUUGGGCGUAAAGCGCACGUAGGCGGAUAUUUAAGUCAGGGGUGAAAUCCCAGAGCUCAACUCUGGAACUGCCUUUGAUACUGGGUAUCUCGAGUAUGGAAGAGGUGAGUGGAAUUCCGAGUGUAGAGGUGAAAUUCGUAGAUAUUCGGAGGAACACCAGUGGCGAAGGCGGCUCACUGGUCCAUUACUGACGCUGAGGUGCGAAAGCGUGGGGAGCAAACAGG